CCAAAAAGCGGAGGAAAAGAAACCAACAGGGAUUGCCUUAGUAACGGCGAGUGAAGCGGCAAAAGCUCAAAUUUGAAAUCUGGCACCUUCGGUGUCCGAGUUGUAAUUUGAAGAAGGUAACUUUGGAGUUGGCUCUUGUCUAUGUUCCUUGGAACAGGACGUCACAGAGGGUGAGAAUCCCGUGCGAUGAGAUGCCCAAUUCUAUGUAAAGUGCUUUCGAAGAGUCGAGUUGUUUGGGAAUGCAGCUCUAAGUGGGUGGUAAAUUCCAUCUAAAGCUAAAUAUUGGCGAGAGACCGAUAGCGAACAAGUACAGUGAUGGAAAGAUGAAAAGAACUUUGAAAAGAGAGUGAAAAAGUACGUGAAAUUGUUGAAAGGGAAGGGCUUGAGAUCAGACUUGGUAUUUUGCGAUCCUUUCCUUCUUGGUUGGGUUCCUCGCAGCUUACUGGGCCAGCAUCGGUUUGGAUGGUAGGAUAAUGACUAAGGAAUGUGGCUCUACUUCGGUGGAGUGUUAUAGCCUUGGUUGAUACUGCCUGUCUAGACCGAGGACUGCGUCUUUGACUAGGAGU
RNAcentral lists this ribosomal RNA (566 nucleotides) under Debaryomyces hansenii. Its description in RNAcentral is "partial large subunit ribosomal RNA". It matches the Rfam family "Eukaryotic large subunit ribosomal RNA", at positions 43 to 614 of the family's 3401-position model. The record is from RNAcentral. Lineage: Eukaryota; Fungi; Ascomycota; Pichiomycetes; Serinales; Debaryomycetaceae.